GAGUGCCCCAAGCGUUAUCCGGAUUUAUUGGGCGUAAAGCGUACGUAGGCGGUCAUGUAAGUCAGUGGUAAAAUCCCAAGGCUCAACCUUGGACCUGCCACUGAAACUGCACGACUAGAGGCUGGAAGAGGCAAGUGGAAUUGCUGGUGUAGGGGUAAAAUCCGUUAAUAUCAGCAGGAACACCAAAUGCGAAGGCAACUUGCUAGAACAGUCCUGACGCUAAGGUACGAAAGCGUGGGUAGCGAAUGGGGGAUUAGAUACCCCAGUAGUCCACGCCGUAAACGAUGGAUACUAGGCAUUGGAAGUAUCGACCCCUUUCAGUGCCGGUGAACCAAGCUAACGCAUUAAGUAUCCCCGCCUGGGAGUACGGCCGCAAGGCUA
This 381-nucleotide ribosomal RNA is filed under the name uncultured organism. RNAcentral describes it as "partial 16S ribosomal RNA". It matches the Rfam family "Bacterial small subunit ribosomal RNA", at positions 527 to 896 of the family's 1533-position model. The record is from RNAcentral.